Molecule: ribosomal RNA, 301 nt
Filed under: uncultured bacterium
Lineage: Bacteria
Description: partial 16S ribosomal RNA
Rfam family: Bacterial small subunit ribosomal RNA
Source: RNAcentral
CAGCCGCCGCGGGAAUACGUAGGGUGCAAGCGUUGUCCGGAAUUAUUGGGCGUAAAGAGCUCGUAGGCGGUUUGUCGCGUCUGCUGUGAAAACGCGAGGCUCAACCUCGCGCCUGCAGUGGGUACGGGCAGACUAGAGUGUGGUAGGGGAGAUUGGAAUUCCUGGUGUAGCGGUGGAAUGCGCAGAUAUCAGGAGGAACACCGAUGGCGAAGGCAGAUCUCUGGGCCAUUACUGACGCUGAGGAGCGAAAGCGUGGGGAGCGAACAGGAUUAGAUACCCGAGUAGUCCCUGUCUCUUAUAC